GGAUGUGAGGGCGAUCUGGCUGCGACAUCUGUCACCCCAUUGAUCGCCAGGGUUGAUUCGGCUGAUCUGGCUGGCUAGGCGGGUGUCCCCUUCCUCCCUCACCUCUCCAUGUGCGUCCUCCGGAAGCUGCGCAUUCGGUCGAAUUCUCCGAUAGAGGAGAGGACUGUUCUUAGGUCAAGGGUAUAGGAGUAGCUGCGCUUCCCUGCUAGAACCUCCAAACAAGCUCUCAAAUUGUCACAAAUCUUCAAAAAGUUUCCUAAUAUAUUUAUUUUAUAAAAUCUGAAUAUAAUA
This 291-nucleotide small nuclear RNA is filed under the name Neogale vison (American mink). RNAcentral's name for it is "Neovison vison (American mink) 7SK RNA (ENSNVIG00000007258.1)". It matches the Rfam family "7SK RNA". From Rfam's summary of the family: 7SK was discovered as an abundant small nuclear RNA in the mid-70s but a possible function has only recently been suggested. Lineage: Eukaryota; Metazoa; Chordata; Mammalia; Carnivora; Mustelidae. The record is from Rfam by way of RNAcentral.